Pieris napi is the source of this 1235-nucleotide long non-coding RNA. RefSeq lists it as uncharacterized. NCBI's taxonomy places the organism in Eukaryota, Metazoa, Arthropoda, Insecta, Lepidoptera, Pieridae. The record is from RefSeq and is a predicted model, not a curated record. The transcript is spliced from 2 exons.
AAUUGUAACGGACGUGACGUCGCCAGUCACAUCCUGCCAAGCCAAGCCAAAGCCAAUGCCAUAGCCAAUGCCAAAGCCAAGCCAUGCCAUGUUGACCAACCCUCCAGCCAACCGCCAUGCCUGCCAACCGCAAAUGCCAGCCACUUGGAGGGGAUGAGUCUAUAUAAGCCAAAGCCAGCCAUAUUAAAACUUACUUUUUGGAAGACGUAAAAUAAAGAACAAGUGUGCUGUCACUCUGCCAUUUUAUUUUCGCUGUCAGUUAUAAUAAAUUAAAAUACAAAUAUCAAUAAAAGAAUAGGUCAAUUAUACUCAGAAGUGGGAUAAAACGACCUCGCCACAAGUUUUUCGACCUUCUGACGAAUCAAUGUCGGAGGAAGAUGAGGAUACUCCUUCACCGCCGGCACUGAAGCUGCUCAAGAAUCUGCUAAUAAAAAGAAGUAAUAAAGGCUCCACGCGAUCUUCAAUAUGACUGUGUUGAUGAAGCUCCAAAUAAGUCACAAGUACAUCGUGCUGCAUUUUUGACUCCGGAAUUCGACCUUGACAUUGAGGAAUUUACGAUAAACUACGAGGUCAAGCGAAGAAGAGGUACAAGCGCCUGUAGGACUACGAUUAUACGUGGGAGCAAUGGAAAAAGCAUCUCUAGCAUCAAGAUGGCCGACGUUAAUCUUUUCAUCUGACCGAUGUCCUAUCCAUAGCGAAGAGAUAGAUAGAUAACCUAUCAACAGCGAAGUCAACAAAGACAAACUUCCAUCUGGCUCUUCUUUCCAUCAAGUGCGCGUUCUGGAGAAUAAGGUCGGCAACGAUGUGGUAACGCCACCUCGACACUACGAGUUUGGUGGUCUACUCUUAUCCCUCUACCCUGCUCCGUGGCGAAGAUGGUUACAUCAAAGUCGUCAACACCGGGUGCGAGGUUAUCGUGUGGUCGCCGGAAGAGGUCCUAACAUGGGCUGAAAGCUGCCAGGAAUCUCCGUUACAGCCGUAUAGUCACUAGUCAGGAUGGCCGAGUGUAACGGACGUGACGUCGCCAGUCACAUCCUGCCAAGCCAAGCCAAAGCCAAUGCCAUAGCCAAUGCCAAAGCCAAGCCAUGCCAUGUUGACCAACCCUCCAGCCAACCGCCAUGCCUGCCAACCGCAAAUGCCAGCCACUUGGAGGGGAUGAGUCUAUAUAAGCCAAAGCCAGCCAUAUUAAAACUUACUUUUUGGAAGACGUAAAAUAAAGAACAAGUGUGCUGUCA